This 259-nucleotide ribosomal RNA is filed under the name uncultured bacterium. RNAcentral describes it as "partial 16S ribosomal RNA". It matches the Rfam family "Bacterial small subunit ribosomal RNA", at positions 95 to 354 of the family's 1533-position model. The record is from RNAcentral.
UUGGCGGACGGGUGAGUAACGCGUGGGCAACCUGCCUCGUGCCGGGGGAUACCGCCUGGAAACAGGCGCUAAUACCGCAUAAGCGCAUACAGCCGCAUGGCAGUAUGCGGAAAGCUCCGGCGGCACGGGAUGGGCCCGCGCCCGAUUAGCCAGUUGGCGGGGUAACGGCCCACCAAAGCGACGAUCGGUAGCCGGCCUGAGAGGGCGGACGGCCACAUUGGGACUGAGACACGGCCCAAACUCCUACGGGAGGCAGCAG